AUUGUGAAGCCGCGAAUGGCUCAUUAUAACAGCCAUUGUUUACUGGAUAUUCUUUACUACAUGGAUAACUGUGGUAAUUCUACAGCUAAUACACGCCUCAAAGCCUCGACUUUAUGAAGAGGUGCGUUUGUUACUUCAAACCAAUCGGACUUGUCCGAUCUCAAGUGAUAUUGAACAAUUUAGCUGAUCGAACGGUCUAUGAACCGACGACAUAUCCUUCAAACGUCUGCCUUAUCAACUUUCGAUGGUAGAGUAUACGUUUACCAUGGUUGUAACGGGUAACGGAGAAUCAGGGUUUGAUUCCGGAGAGGGAGCCUGAGAAAUGGCUACCACAUCCAAGGAAGGCAGCAGGCACGCAAAUUACCCACUCCCGGCACGGGGAGGUAGUGACAAGAAAUAACAAGCAGGUCUCUAUGAGUUCCUGAUUUGUAAUGGGAACAUCCUAAACAACUUAUCGAGGAUCAAUUGGAGGGCAAGUCUGGUGCCAGCAGCCGCGGUAAUUCCAGCUCCAAUAGCGUAUAUAAAAGUUGUUGC
This 534-nucleotide ribosomal RNA is filed under the name Polygastrophora sp. 214386401. RNAcentral's name for it is "SSU rRNA". It matches the Rfam family "Eukaryotic small subunit ribosomal RNA", at positions 78 to 616 of the family's 1831-position model. Lineage: Eukaryota; Metazoa; Nematoda; Enoplea; Enoplida; Enchelidiidae. The record is from RNAcentral.